Long non-coding RNA from Cryptomeria japonica (Japanese cedar), 2418 nucleotides. RefSeq lists it as uncharacterized. NCBI's taxonomy places the organism in Eukaryota, Viridiplantae, Streptophyta, Pinopsida, Cupressales, Cupressaceae. The transcript has 3 exons. The record is from RefSeq and is a predicted model, not a curated record.
AUGUUUUCGUAUAGCUAUUCUGCAAUUAGUUUAUGCUUGGGAAACAGUGCCAGUGUUUUUAACCUAUGGUCUAAUUUAUUUUUAUCAUUACACUGAUUUAUUUCUUCAUUUCUACUUUUUCGUGAUUGGCCCUAGGUAUUUUUUUAGGGGUUUUCAAUUUUAUUUUAUUUUUUGAAAAAAACAAUCUACACGUGCCUAGCCAUUGGUUCCACAUUUUGCAUCUUGAACAGUCCACGUGCCAAGCCUUUGGUUCCACAUUUUGCAUAUUAAACAAUCCACAUGCCAUGGCUAUGUUUCCAUAGUUUGCAAUCUUUGCUAGACAUACUCACUUCACCUAUUUUAUAUCUCUGUAAUUUCACCUAAGUUGUUAUUAUGACAGUCUAUAUUCGAGAACAUGUUUUAAGGUCGAGGAAAGAGCAAUAUGAUCUUUAGAUUUUGAGAUAUAGCCAUCGACAUAUCUAUAUAUUUUCUGAUCUGAAGCUUCUUUCCAGAAUUUCAUCCAUGAUCACACAAAGAAAUCUUGUUCCAUAAAUUAGUCUGAGUGUAGUAACCUCUGGAUAAUGCAGCAAACAUUACUCAGCAAAACCUUAAGGAAAACCUAUCAUUAUGUAAAUUUUGCCCUCCUACAUUUUGUCCCCCUCUGAAAAAAUUUUUAAAAAAAACAGAGAACCUAAAAUCUACCAUGUAGAAUCAGCCCUAAGAGAUUCACAGUUUUUGUUUUUGUUUCCAUUAAAGGGAAACCCUCAUAAACAAAAAAAGAGAGAAAAAUGUGCCUUGCUUAUCCUUCCACAUUUUGCAUGCAUGCCUGCGUCUACGCAAGGACAGUUGGCUUCAACAAUAUUUCUUGAUGCUACCAGUCAAAGAGUUUAGAACACGCCGAAGGAGAGUGUAGAGGGAUUGAGUGGCAAUAUUGUAAGUGUUGAGGUAGUAGAUGGCGGGUUGUUGUGCUCGAGUGGAGUUUGCUUGGAAUCCAUGGGGAUAAAAAAUGAUGAUUGUUACAUUGUUAAUGUUGCAGUACACGUAGGCUAUUAAAUUUUGGUUUACACCAUGUGACAUGUACAUGGCCUUGACUUCCUGACUUCGCAUUCAUGUUUUCGUAUAGCUAUUCUGCAAUUAGUUUCUACUUGGGAAACAGUGCCAGAGAUUUUUACCUAUGGUCUAAUUUAUUUUUAUCAUUAAACUGAUUUAUUUCUUCAUUUCUACUUUUUCGUGAUUGGCCCUUGGUAUUUUUGCUAGGGGUUUUCAAUUUUUUAAAAGAAAAAAAUAGUCUACAUGUGCCUAGCCUUUGGUUCCACAUUUUGCAUCUUGAACAGUCCACAUGCCAUGGCUAUGUUUCCACAUUUUGCAUAUCAAACAGUCCACGUGCCAUGGCUAUGUUUCCACAUUUUGCAAUCACCUAUUUUAUACCUCUGUAAUUUCACCUAAGCUGUUAUUAUGACAGUCUCUAUAUUCAAGAACAUGUUUUAAGGUUGAGGAAAGAGCAAUAUGAUCUUUAGAUUUUGAGAUAUAGCCAUCGACAUAUCUAUAUAUUUUCUGAUCUGAAGCUUCUUUCCAGAAUUUCAUGCAUGAUCACCCAAAGAAAUCUUGUUCUGUAAAUUAGUCUGAGUGUAGUAACCUCUGGAUAAUGCAGCAGACAUUACUCGGCAAAACCUUAAGAAAAACCUAUCAUUAUGUAAAUUCUGCCCUCCUACAUUUUGUCCCCCUCUGAAAAAAUUCAAAAAAAAACAGAGAACCUAAAAACUACCAUGUAGAAUCAGCAGUAAGAGAUUCACAGUUUUUGUUUUCGUUUCCAUUAAAUGGAAACCCUAGUAAACAAAAAAAAAGAGAGAAAAAUAUGCCUUGCUUAUCCUUCCACAUUUUGCAUACAUGCCUGCCAUCCACGCAAGGACGGAUGGCUUCAACAAUAUUUCUUGAUGCUGCCAGUCAAAGAAUUUAGAACACGCCAAAGGAGAUUGUAGAGGGAUUGAGGGACAAAUAAGAAAUAAUCAAAAGCUACAUUAUUGGGUACUGUGAAGAAGGAUCCCAUAACUGUACUGAUACCGUUCUAGUACUGGUACCCAUAACUGUACUGGUAUCGUUCUAGUACUGGUACUAGUGCAGAUACCUACUCGGUUUUGAUAUUACUAUCCUGGGUAAUUUUUCGGAUCUCCUUCCAUCAAUUUGUUGACUCAUUGUUUGGUGUGCAGCUCCUAAGCUUGAGCUUGUGAUAGUUCUAGAACCUUGAACAGACUAUAAGCUACUCAAAAAUUCAAUCAACAAGCCUUUCUUAUUGAUCUCUGCUAUUUUUUUGCAUUAGGCAGUUGCUUUUUUUUUUCAUUAGGUAGGGACUCCAGCUGCAUUGCAGCUCUUGUUUCAUAAUAGUUUCAGCUUCAGCUCUUGUUUCAUAAUAGUUUCAGCUUGAACUGGACUGAAACCUUU